UAUUUAAUAUUUUUAAAUUCAUUCUCUCCUACGGAUUGUUGAUCUGUUGGGGUUUUCAUCCCCAAUCAUUUAAAAUUCCGCCAAGGGAAUACCACCCAUAGGCCCUGUGUCACUCUGGGACUGAGGUUCUGUUUCGCCUUCGGGCAAGCAGCAAAUUUGACUGUCUUCUCCAUCGCCUGACUGUGCAGGGCUAAGUCCCAAUGCCUUCGGCUUCUUAUGGAAAGACUACAGGGGUUUACAUUCCCACUUUCAUUAUUUUCAGGGGUACACAAAUCCCCACCUUCAUAACUGGCACCCGACGGACCAAGUUCCGGUUCCGGCCCAGUGUUGUCGGCCCGCCUCACAGCGCCCAUGUUUAGAGUUUUUGUCACGUGACACCAUUCCCAACAUCUGAGAUCAACUUUCCUCAUGACUUCAUUCACCGUUAAGGGUAAUUAAAUUAAUUAUAAUACACCUUCGAAUUGACCGUAAAAUUAUUUUUUGUAAGUAGUAGGAUACAGGCGAACCUGGUACUAGUUUUACUAAUAAGUGUAGGUUUGUUUUUUAUUUUCCCUAUAUGCUCCGCAUUUAAGCGGGGGAGUAUGUGCCGAAUCAGUGCUACUUUAGGCACGAUUUUUUUUAUUUUCUUAGUUUUACAAAAUUUUAAAUUUUUUUAUAACUUCAAUUUUCCUCCUUCACCCGCUGCUUUCGCCCCCAUCCAAACUUGUUCGGUCGAGUGUACCGGCAGGUUAGCUUGUUGAGCAGUAUAGUGCUCUCACCGCCGUUUCCCACCAAAUUUGCUGGGUCUAGCCGACUACAGGGCUAUUAUCAGCAACGGUAUCCACUGGCCGUCGCGUCUCGUCACGAGUUUAGCGCUACGCGUGACGAAAGUAGCCACCCUAAGCUUCCCAUGGUCACCUCCACCCCUUCUCGGAGGUGUGCUGAAGUUUGCGGUCUCUAACACGUUUUUGUGUCCUUUUUUCAAGCUCCGCCGCACGUCCCGACGCCUGGCCGGCGAAGUCUCCCAGGGCAGGUCAUUCACCGGACAUACCCCCCACCCCUCCCUGGUCCACAGCGGUCAUCGGCCAGCCGCGCCAGUGACCAAUCUCAAGGCCAAAAUCCCCCCCCCCCCACUUGCAAAAUGGCGGCCACCAAGUGCCGCGAUGGUCUCUGCGAGACUCCGAUCUGCAUGCCCACGCCAUCUAGCGGCGAAAGGACGAACCAGCUAUCCCCUAUCCCCACCAGGAGAAACAGUCGACCUCACACUUAGUCGAUAGGUCGCCAGAGCCCUUUUUUUUCUUUCGGAGCCCUUCGGAGCACUUCGGGUUUCCCGAUCCCCUCCUCCAGAGGAACAGACGACUGAACUAAAGUUUAAGUUAGCGUCCCGGCGCCAUUUUCAGGGAUUUUGAGGGCAGCUCUCGUCCAGCGCGCAUCUUUGCAACAGGUCGCAGUAACGACCAGCAGCUAUCGUGAUCCGCUUUCGGCGAUAAUGUAGUUGCUUCUGAGCCAGGCCAUGUCGCCUAGAUUUUUUUUAGUUUUUCUUAGUAGCUGCCCAAAUAGCUAAGUUUAACUUUAGUUUUUUUUUUGGUUUUCGCCAUAACUAUUUCUUCUAUGGCUACCGCGAGCUCCCGUGCCGCGCAUCCCCGGAUCACCCCCAGGGACAGCCACUAUCUACUUCACCCUGCCAGCUAAGGCAGGGUUCCAGAAUCCCAGAGGGUUCCAGAAUCCCAGAGUACUUCAAGGACCCCAGACCAGUUCAAGAUGGCGGCCCAGUUCCGGCGCCACAUUUUGCACCUCAACAUGUAACUCGUGAGCCUCUAUAACGGAGUCUCCCUCCAUCUUUCGGCACCCCUCAAAAAGAAGUGAAGAACAGUUUAUAACUCCGCCAGUUUUAGGACGUUUUCCAUAUUAUUAUAAAAUAUUGUAUUUUAAACACAUAUAUUUGUUUUAUGAGCCUGCGAGCUCAAUGUUCCUAAACAGUUGAACUUAGCAUAGUAUGAAAUUGUGUUCCCCCCCCCCCCCCCGGCCCCUCUUUCUCCUUUUUUUAUUCGUUAGUUACUCAAUGUAAUGUAUCAAAAAUAAGAAUCUGACAUUGUUAGCAGUUUUGUUUGUAAUGGCUGUAAUGCCGCAAGAUAUUUUCUAAUGUAAGAAACCUAUCAAUGAAAAGAUACUAAACUACUAAUCAACAGUAAAAGCCUCUAAUGAAACCAAA
Molecule: long non-coding RNA, 2191 nt
Organism: Bacillus rossius redtenbacheri
Lineage: Eukaryota; Metazoa; Arthropoda; Insecta; Phasmatodea; Bacillidae
Exons: 2
Source: RefSeq, a predicted model, not a curated record